This 213-nucleotide ribosomal RNA is filed under the name uncultured soil bacterium. RNAcentral describes it as "partial 16S ribosomal RNA". The record is from RNAcentral.
UGCUUUCGCGCCUAGCGUCAGUGUCGGCCAGCAACCCGCCUUCGCCGCAGGUGUUCCUCUCGAUAUCUACGCAUUUCACCGCUACACCGAGAAUUCCAGUUGCCCCUUCCGCACUCUAGCCCUGCAGUAUCACUUGACCGCUCGGAGUUAAGCCCCGAGAUUUCACAAGUGACUUGCAGUGGCCGCCUACGCGCCCUUUACGCCCAGUAAAUC